UCAGAGGGUAGUUUAAUUUAGAAUUCUAGCUUUGGGAGCUAGUGGUGGGAGUUAAAAUCUCCUCCCUCUGAG
Molecule: transfer RNA, 72 nt
Filed under: Gadus morhua (Atlantic cod)
Lineage: Eukaryota; Metazoa; Chordata; Actinopteri; Gadiformes; Gadidae
Description: tRNA-Pro
Rfam family: tRNA
About the family: Transfer RNA (tRNA) molecules are approximately 80 nucleotides in length.
Source: RNAcentral